GGCUGGGUAGCUCAGUUGGUUAGAGCGCAGGACUCAUAAGCCUGAGGUCGAGGGUUCGACACCCUCCCCAGCUA
RNAcentral lists this transfer RNA (74 nucleotides) under Parcubacteria group bacterium CG10_big_fil_rev_8_21_14_0_10_36_14. Its description in RNAcentral is "tRNA-Met". It matches the Rfam family "tRNA". From Rfam's summary of the family: Transfer RNA (tRNA) molecules are approximately 80 nucleotides in length. Their secondary structure includes four short double-helical elements and three loops (D, anti-codon, and T loops). The record is from RNAcentral.